This is a non-coding RNA of Podarcis lilfordi (Lilford's wall lizard), 85 nucleotides long. NCBI's taxonomy places the organism in Eukaryota, Metazoa, Chordata, Lepidosauria, Squamata, Lacertidae. The record is from the annotation of a GenBank genome assembly.
ACUUGGAAAGGACACUUGCUCUAUGGUUAGAGCAUCUGCUUUGCAUGCAGAAGAUCUCAGGUUCAAUCUCUGCUAUCUCCAAGUA